This 1364-nucleotide long non-coding RNA is filed under the name Anas zonorhyncha (Eastern spot-billed duck). RNAcentral describes it as "lncRNA (ENSAZOG00000014004.1)". Lineage: Eukaryota; Metazoa; Chordata; Aves; Anseriformes; Anatidae. The record is from RNAcentral.
CCCAUGUAGGAUUUGUGGCUGUCAUUCUUGCAGUAUCUCCUGAUGUACUGUCCCAAAUCACAGCCUAAAAUGUUGAAGGCUGAAUCAACAUGCCACUCAUUACUAGUUAGUAGCUAGUAAGAUAGUUCAGUUACACCUAGGCUUAAAAAAGUGGUAGUUAAUUGGUGGUAAGGAUUCCCUCCCCUCUCACCUUCCUGUGUUAGUUUUGAUGGCAGAUGUAUGAGAAAGACUUCUUUGUGAACUUAUCUAUAACUGACCUGGCAGAUGUUGCACAAAAGCUGGUGUAGAACAACAAGUUAAGCCUGAGAUUUUCUGAUCCCAUCUUGCUGUUCUCUUCACAUCCAUCUUCUGAAGAAACAAGGGACUUGUGGGAGCUACUGCAUUUUAUGAAAUUAGCAGUUAUGAAAUUACUAGUUGCUGGUGCUUUUUCUGAGUGACCUUGUGUGUGUUUUUCAGGAAGGUUUGUAAGGAAGAUGUUGGUGCUCAACUGCUCCACAAAGCUGCAGAUGCUGGAGAAAAUGUUAAGGUGGAGUUUUCCUGUGUCCUUCAAGGUAACACAGCACAGACCUGUUGUUUUCUGUGGUUCUUCCAUCAGCACAUCAGCACAUUUAUCUGGAAAUCAAUAUUCUGGGGAGAAGGUUGUGUUUCUUCUGGUCUGACUGGUAGCUGCUGUUUAUAUGACUACAUCUGAGAUACACCCAUGGCCCUGCUUACUGAAUAAAAUCCAUGUAUUUAAGAAAAGAAAGAAAGAAGCAAGCCUGUCUCCACCUCCUCCAAAGUAAUUAAGGUUGCCAUAAUUACACAAUGAUUUAUCUUCAUGAUAAAUCAAUGAUUAUCUUCAUGAUAGGUAACACCUGGUGUGAAUGUGUCAAUCUAUGUGAUGAAUGUGUGUAUAUGAAAAUCUAAAGGUGUCUCUUCAGCUCUGUGUUGCUGGUUCAUUCUCCAGUUUAUAACACAGGUGCCACGUUUGUGUGUUAAGCUGUCUUACUUCUCUUGGAUCUUCAUCCUACAGGUUUAUGGAGCUGUGAUGAACCAAGGGAAUUGUUUCAGGAAGGAGGUGGUAGUAGAUUCAUGGUCAGACUUCAAAGCUGUUAUCACCCGUCCUCAGAGGCAGGUACAUACAUAUACAUGUUAUUGUCUUUGUUUCUGUGAUCUUUGUGAAUGGAGCGAGCUUUAUCUGGGAAGUGUGUAGCUGGAGUGUGUGAAAACCAUAAAGCACAGCAGGACAACCCAGGUGGAUGCAAGAGCAAAGCCCACUCUAGGGAGCACUCCUGAAGCAAGCUGACUAGUGACUAUAGCCUAACCAAACUUAUCUGUGAAGUACAUGCUCUAAGUAAUUGUAAGCAUCCUGAUCACACGGACUG